AGGAGAGUUUGAUCCUGGCUCAGAACGAACGCUGGCGGCGCGUCUUAAGCAUGCAAGUCGAGCGGUAAGAUUGGUGCUUGCACUAAUCCUAGAGCGGCGGACUGGUGAGUAACGCGUGGGUGACGUACCUUUGUGACGGGGGCAGCUCCUAGAAAUAGGAGAUAAUACCGGAUACGCUGCAUGUUGUCAGAGGACAUGCAGGAAAGGAACUUUUGUUCCGCAUAAGGAGCGGCCCGCGUACUAUUAGCUAGUUGGUGAGGUAACGGCCCACCAAGGCGACGAUAGUUACCCGGCCUAAGAGGGUGAUCGGGCACAUUGGGACUGAGAUACGGCCCAGACUCCUACGGGAGGCAGCAGCUAAGAAUAUUCCGCAAUGGACGAAAGUCUGACGGAGCGACGCCGCGUGGAUGAUGAAGGCCGGAAGGUUGUAAAAUCCUUUUAUGACUGAGGAAUAAGCAUUGUGAGAGAAACGCAAUGUGGUGACUGUAGGUCAUGAAUAAGCAACGGCUAAUUACGUGCCAGCAGCCGCGGUAACACGUAAGUUGCGAGCGUUGUUCGGAAUUAUUGGGCGUAAAGGGCAUGUAGGCGGUUCUGCAAGUCUGGUGUGAAAUACCGGGGCUCAACCCCGGAACUGCGUUGGAAACUGCGGAACUGGAGUCGCUGAGGGGCAGCCAGAAUUCCAGGUGUAGGGGUGAAAUCUGUAGAUAUCUGGAAGAAUACCAAUGGCGAAGGCAGGCUGCCAGCAGAUGACUGACGCUGAGGUGCGAAGGUGCGGGGAGCAAACAGGAUUAGAUACCCUGGUAGUCCCCU
This 810-nucleotide ribosomal RNA is filed under the name uncultured Spirochaetota bacterium. RNAcentral describes it as "bacterial SSU rRNA". It matches the Rfam family "Bacterial small subunit ribosomal RNA", at positions 1 to 799 of the family's 1533-position model. The record is from RNAcentral. Lineage: Bacteria; Pseudomonadati; Spirochaetota.